This 970-nucleotide ribosomal RNA is filed under the name Karlodinium australe. Its description in RNAcentral is "eukaryotic LSU rRNA". It matches the Rfam family "Eukaryotic large subunit ribosomal RNA", at positions 34 to 893 of the family's 3401-position model. Lineage: Eukaryota; Dinophyceae; Gymnodiniales; Kareniaceae. The record is from RNAcentral.
UUAAGCAUAUAAGUAAGCGGAGGACAAGAAACUAAAUAGGAUUCCCUCAGUAAUGGCGAAUGAACAGGGAUAAGCUCAGCAUGGAAAUUGGGGCCUCUGGCCUUGAAUUGUAGUCUUGAGAUGGCAUUGCCAGUGGAGGCGCAGAUGUAAGCCUCUUGGAAAAGAGCAUCAAUGAGGGUGAGAGUCCCGUUUGUCAUCUGCAGUCCCCCAUAAACGGUGUGCUUUCUAAGAGUCACGUUCCUUGGGAUUGGAGCGCAAAUUGGGUGGUAAAUUUCAUCUAAAGCUAAAUAUUGGUUCGAGACCGAUAGCAAACAAGUACCAUGAGGGAAAGGUGAAAAGGACUUUGAAAAGAGAGUUAAAAGUGCCUGAAAUUGCUGAAAGGGAAGCGAAUGGAACCAGUCUUCUGGGCGAGAUUGUUGCGCGCUACUGUGAUUGCCUGCUGCUUCAACGCAAGUGUCGCAGUGGGUUUUGAGCAUGACGUGCGCUUUGUUUCUUGCCUCGUGUGUCAACGUCGGUUCGGACUUGAGGAAAACUCCAGGGACAUGGUAAAUCGCUCGUGGGUGAUUGAAUGUGCUUGGCAGAACUCAUUUCUUAACUGAUUUCUGCAUGUCUGGUCGCAGUGCCUCGUUGCCUGCGCUCGCUGCCUCGGGUCUGGAGCUUCAGCUCUUCCUCGUUGCUUUGAGCCUGGUCGUGUGGCAUCUCCCUGACAUAAGUACGAUGACAAAAUGGUUUCAUUCGACCCGUCUUGAAACACGGACCAAGGAGUCUAACAUAUGUGCAAGUUCACGGGUGUUAAACCUGAUUGCGCAAUGAAAGUGACUGCUGGGAUAUUUGCACCAGCAACCGACCAAUCAAUUGUGAGAGGUUUGAGUAUGAGCAUAUCUGUUAGGACCCGAAAGAUGGUGAACUAUGCCUGAGAAGGGUGAAGUCAGGGGAAACUCUGAUGGAGGCUCGUAGCGAUACUGACGUG